Molecule: unclassified non-coding RNA, 381 nt
Filed under: Hevea brasiliensis (rubber tree)
Lineage: Eukaryota; Viridiplantae; Streptophyta; Magnoliopsida; Malpighiales; Euphorbiaceae
Source: RNAcentral
CUCUCUCUCUCUCUCUUUUCCCUAGUUAUUGUGCUGGAAUAUUUUGAUGUGUUGCUUUCAUGUGUUGCCUUACAAUUAAGAACCUAUGAUGAAAAGUAUACUUCUUCACUUAUAUGGAAAGAGAAUACGUCUGCAAAACAAAUCAUACUGACCUGGCUUGGUUAUCAACAGAUUGUGAACUAUAAUUUGUAAAGUGACAUUAUGGAAUUUGAAAUUGUAAGCAUUUAAGAUUUGUCAACCAUAAGUUUUUAAUGUUAUCACCUAACAAUUGUUUGUCAUGUGUUGCAGCAGAAUACCUUCUGCCCUGGGAAUUUAGUUAUUGUCAAUUUGUCAUUGACGUGAUUUUGUGCCAUAUUUCAUUUCUUUUUCUGCAAUGAUUGA